Molecule: ribosomal RNA, 253 nt
Filed under: uncultured bacterium
Lineage: Bacteria
Description: partial 16S ribosomal RNA
Rfam family: Bacterial small subunit ribosomal RNA
Source: RNAcentral
UACAGAGGAGCCAAGCGUUGUCCGGAUUUACUGGGCGUAAAGCGCACGCAGGCGGACGCGCGCGUGGGGUGUGAAAUCUGGCCGCUUAACGGUCAGGCGCCAUCCCAUACGGCGCGACUGGAGUGAUGCAGAGGUCGAUGGAAUUGCCGGUGUAGUGGUGAAAUGCGUAGAUAUCGGGAGGAACACCAGUGGCGAAGGCGGCUUCCUGGCCUGUUCUUGACGCUGAGGCGCGAAAGCUAGGGGAGCAAACGGG